UCUCGUCCAUGUUUGCUCAGGGAGACGGCCAAGCUCCAGUCAGGAGAAAAUCAGGUGGUUAUCACAGCCAGAAGAAGAAAACCGACACUUCCUGUAUGACACACGCUCCGUUUCCUGUCCAGGGUCAUUUCUCACCCAGAGGGUGGUGAAGCCAAACAGCCCUGGAGCGCUAAAGAGGUUGAAACAACAUCCUUCGAGCAGGAGGCCCCCGAAAGCUGACGGGUCAAGAAGGCACGGACAACAAAGUGUGACACGUCAUUCUUCA
Molecule: long non-coding RNA, 265 nt
Organism: Silurus meridionalis
Lineage: Eukaryota; Metazoa; Chordata; Actinopteri; Siluriformes; Siluridae
Exons: 2
Source: RefSeq, a predicted model, not a curated record